Molecule: unclassified non-coding RNA, 71 nt
Filed under: Pseudomonas frederiksbergensis
Lineage: Bacteria; Pseudomonadati; Pseudomonadota; Gammaproteobacteria; Pseudomonadales; Pseudomonadaceae
Source: RNAcentral
UGUGGGAGCGGGCUUGCCCGCGAUGGCGGUGUAUCAGAUACAUUGCCAUCGCGGGCAAGCCCGCUCCCACA